CAGCUCUCUGGCUGACCCCUGGGAGAGCAGGUACAAGAUGUGAGCCGGGUGCCAGUGAUGGUGUCAGGAAGAGCCUGAGAUUUGGGUCCUGAAUCAAGGAGCGUAUUCUCCAGCAGGGAAGAGGACAGGUACAUAAAAUCCAAACCACACGGUGAAGCAGCUCAUAAAGGGACCACUGCCAUACCCAAAGUUUAGCCUCUGCUAUACUAGCAACUGUCCACAGUGAGGAUCAAAAACAUAAGGCUUGGAAGAGCUCCAGAACAUAGGACAGGCAUGGCUGACAGGACAUAGACCAGAAUCGCUGCCAACUCAUCUCAGAGAGGCACUUCUCGAAGAACCUAUAAGAGACAAGUUUGAUGCAGGAACACCAAGAGCUAAGUAUCCAGGCAUCCUCUCCUUCUUAACCAGGGCCCUGGGACAGCUGGACAUCCUCACCCUUUUCUGUCAUUUUGACAGGGGACUCUGUCUUCUCUGCUUGGAAAGAGGACAUUUCCAUGUCAUUGCCCAAGCACCCUGGUCUAGGCGACUUAGAUGCUUCUCUGAGAGACUCUGCCUCUGGCUGUUUUGGGUUGUUCAGGAAAUUCCAGAUUCGGCAGAACAAUUACAACAGACACAGUUGCAACAUGGCACCAAGCCUUCCUCCCGGAUACAAUGUUAUUGAUAUAUUGUGGUAUAGCGAAAAAAAAUCAUCAAUGGUGGGUGGUGGCAUAUAGAGUCCUCAUGAGAAAGAAAUAGAAAAAUUACAAAAAGCCGGUAUGAAACGCUUUUCAAUGGAGCAGCCUAAAGCUAUUUAAUGCAAGGACAAGCAACACCCGUUCCUCCUGAGGACCUAAGGGAGACCUGUUGGGAAUAUUGUUGCUGAGUUAAAGGGUCACAUUCAAAUCAGAUUUCACUGGACCAAUCCCAGUUUGGCAAAAGGCCCUGAAAAUUCCAGAGCCAUCAUCGUCAUGAUCUGGAGGCUUCCAAGGAAUCUGUUCCCUGGUCAAAUCAGAAUCUUGUCUCUCUAGAGAGGACUCUAUACAGAAUGAGAAACCCACAUCUAGCAGCCAUCCCCGGACACAAGCUUGCUGAAGGAGGAAUGCUUCCAUUUAAACCAUGACAAUGGAAAGGUUGGCACAAUUUCAGUUUGAUUACGGUGUCAGGAAAAUAAGCUAAUAGCAGAGGCCUGGUACUAAAGUCCCAUAUUCCUAGGUUAUUUUCCAUCGAACCCUUCCUUUCUGGUGCCUUUCUCUGAGAUACAGCACGAAUCCCAUGAUUAUGGAGUUUGAGGCUAUCAUGACCAUCCUCUGACAGUGGUGGGUACACAGCAGCCAAGUCCUUGCUGCUACCAAGGGAAAAAGCAAAACAACACAACAGAAAACCUCUGGGGGGUUGUCAUUUUGGGGUUAAAAAAAACCCUGUUUCUCGUUCUCCUUUCAUUAAAAGGUUUUCAUCGCAAGGCUUCACUGUUCUGCCCAAUGGGAAUCCAAACAUUGACUAUUGUGCACAAAACCUAGAUCGAGGAACAACUUUGUUCCUGCCUGUUUGAAAAAAUCCUGCAUAUUUGAUAAAAAUAGUUUACAGGGUACUCUUUAGUUGGUUUCUUUGGAAAGAGGCAUUUAGAGAAACCAGAGAAAAUUCAUAGAGGGGUAACCAGGCUAAUGAGGAGUCUGAAAACCACAUCAUUAGAGAAAACAUUGAAGGAAGUGAGGAUGCAGGUUCCGGAAAAGUGGACUCAGGGGUGCACAGAUGAAUGUUGUCACCAUCUUUAAACAUCUGAAGAGCUGUCACAGGGAAGAAAAAUUAGGAAGCAGGUCUAGGACCCGCUAAGAGGUGUCUCAGGGCAGGGAUGCUGGUCUCUAUCAGGCUCGAAGCCUUCUUUUUACAACAUAUGUUGAAAUUCCCCUUUUACUAUCCUAACUUAAUUGUAAAGGAGAAAUAAAAUGAAAUAAAUUGUAAAGGAGAAAAUGAAAGGAGCAUACGGUAAAUAUGUUUGUUGCUUGUUUGUUUUGAGACAGGUUCUCUCUUUGCCAUCCAAACUGGAAUGAAGUGGUGCAAUCUCCACCAUUUAAUUGGUUGGAGUGGUUGCUCACUGCAACCUCCGCCUCCUGGAUUCAAGUGAUUCUCGUGCCUCAGCCUCCCAAGUAGCUGGGAUUACAGGUGUGUGCCAACACGCCGAGCUAAUUUCUAUAUUUGUAGUAGAGAUGAAGUUUCGCCAUGUUGGCCAGGCAGGUCUUGAACUCCUGAUCCACCCGCGUCACCCUCCCAAACUGCUGGGACUACAGGUGUGAGCCACCUUGCCCAGCCUAAUAUGUAUUUUUAAAAGUAGGUUCUCAAGCAGGGUUGGACUAGAAGACUAGUGACCCCAGCCAAUGUUUUUACUUAUUUUUUCAGCCCAUUUUCAUCUGGAGUCAAG
RNAcentral lists this long non-coding RNA (2395 nucleotides) under Homo sapiens (human). RNAcentral's name for it is "HSALNT0001931". The record is from RNAcentral. Lineage: Eukaryota; Metazoa; Chordata; Mammalia; Primates; Hominidae.